Small nuclear RNA from Fukomys damarensis (Damara mole-rat), 107 nucleotides. The record is from Ensembl. Lineage: Eukaryota; Metazoa; Chordata; Mammalia; Rodentia; Bathyergidae.
GUGCUUGCUUCGGCAGCACACAUACUAAAAUUGGAAUUAUAUAGAGAAGAUUAGCAUGGCCCCUGUGCAAGGAUGACCCGCAAAUUUGUGAAGCGUUCCAUAUUUUU